UGAGGAAUAUUGGACAAUGGGUGAGAGCCUGAUCCAGCCAUCCCGCGUGAAGGAUGACGGUCCUAUGGAUUGUAAACUUCUUUUGUACAGGGAUAAACCUACUCUCGUGAGGGUAGCUGAAGGUACUGUACGAAUAAGCACCGGCUAACUCCGUGCCAGCAGCCGCGGUAAUACGGAGGGUGCAAGCGUUAUCCGGAUUUAUUGGGUUUAAAGGGUCCGUAGGCGGACUUGUAAGUCAGUGGUGAAAUCUCAUAGCUUAACUAUGAAACUGCCAUUGAUACUGCAGGUCUUGAGUAAAUUUGUAGUGGCUGGAAUAAGUAGUGUAGCGGUGAAAUGCAUAGAUAUUACUUAGAACACCAAUUGCGAAGGCAGGUCACUAAGAUUUAACUGACGCUGAUGGACGAAAGCGUGGGGAGCGAACA
This 422-nucleotide ribosomal RNA is filed under the name uncultured bacterium. RNAcentral's name for it is "partial 16S ribosomal RNA". It matches the Rfam family "Bacterial small subunit ribosomal RNA", at positions 355 to 774 of the family's 1533-position model. The record is from RNAcentral.